This 355-nucleotide unclassified non-coding RNA is filed under the name Hevea brasiliensis (rubber tree). The record is from RNAcentral. Lineage: Eukaryota; Viridiplantae; Streptophyta; Magnoliopsida; Malpighiales; Euphorbiaceae.
AGAGAGAGAGAGAGAGAGAGGUAGGAAGUGGAAUUUGGUUCUUGUCUUUUCACUAUUCAAAUCUUGUUGGAAUAUUAAAGAACUUGAUUACUGAUGAUAGUUAAAGGCUUCGUCCUGUGUUUUAAAGGGCAAUGGUUAUUAACAGUAAACUCUGCGAAGAUUUUCCGUUUCUGGCUCAGCUAGCCUGCUUUAUUUAUUCAUCUAGAUUUUGUCGUUAUGUGUUCUUUUUCCCGUUAUUAUAUACUUAUACCCAUUUUCAUAUGGAACCCUUCAAAGGAGUCAUGGCAUGAGUUUCCGGCGAGGGACAAAAAGCAUGAGACCCCUCCUUUCUCUUCUCCCGUAUUUUCUACAUUUU